Molecule: microRNA precursor, 103 nt
Filed under: Marmota monax (woodchuck)
Lineage: Eukaryota; Metazoa; Chordata; Mammalia; Rodentia; Sciuridae
Source: RNAcentral
AGAGGGACAGCUGGGUUAAAUGGUGGUUCCAUUCCCAGAUUUCCAAGGAAUCUCCAUACUGCUUUCCAUAUUGGCUGCACCAAUUUGCAGUCCCACCAGCUAU